Gallus gallus (chicken) is the source of this 1194-nucleotide long non-coding RNA. The record is from Ensembl. NCBI's taxonomy places the organism in Eukaryota, Metazoa, Chordata, Aves, Galliformes, Phasianidae.
AUUUGAUGGAGGUUCUUGUAAUAGGCAUUGUUGGAGCCAUCAUCUGCCAGAGUAUCUCGGUGUGCAGUAGCCGAGGUCCAAACCCUGCAGCAGAUCCUUGUGCUUUGUGCUAAUUUAAUGUGAAGCUUCAGGAAGGCUCACGGCCCUUAGGAAGCUCUGGAAAACCCAAGCUGGAUUUAACAUCAGUGAGAAAACCUGGAAUCAGAGCCGUGUCCCAAAACCCGGAGCUUCUGUGUUGGAUGUCUGCGCAUCUCAGCCUUAGAGACCUGAGCAGGGCUCUGGUUACGCCCCAUGGAGGGAGACUAUGGAGGCUCAAGUCCUGCGUAUGGGAUGGAUGACACCAUAGGGGACAUGUCAUCUCACGUGAGAUAAGUGGCCCAAUAUGCACAUAGUGUGUUUCUGCUUCAUUCUGCUGAAGACGAGCAUUUACACAGGCCGUUCUGAAAGUAAUGCCUCCUAUUUAUUUCCAAAGAAACAACAACAGAUACAAAGAGCACAAUAAUGCUGUUUGAUAGAGCAAAUUCUCAGCUACAAAACAUUAUUCUUCAACAUGGGCACCACCAUCCACUCUGUAUUUUUGAAAGUAAUGAACAAGAGCCUGUGUGCUGUGCUUGUACAGGCAUGCAUCAGUGGAGGUAACCCACUGUCACCAUCUGAAAUGCAGCACCAACUGUGCUCACUGUGCUCACAUCCACCAUUCGAUCUCCAUAAACACUCAGCAAAUGUUGGUGAAUGUCAAUGGAUGCCAUUUUUUCUGCAUGGAGGAUUUAAUUCCACCCCUUUGCUUCAUACAUGCUUCCAUGACAGACACCAUUUUGCCACGCUGUCCCUCAGCUGUUGUUUGUCACACGGCAACAAAACAUAAUGGGAUACUGGUGGGAAGGUUCAGCCUCUACUGCCAUCCAAUCAACAUCUGCUUCUGAUCAUAUAGCAGGAGGCAAUACUUUCAGAGCAGCCCUUGUAUAAUGGCUCUUUUUAGGUGACAUUUUCUUUUGGGUAAUGGAUACAAAAAGAGGAAAAGGGAGAGCAAACCAAUAGAAAAAUCAUAAUGUGAUUGCUUUUAAGUGGCUUUUUUUGACCCGUUGUUUCGAAAAGGUGCCGCAAAUCAGUCAAAGUUUCCUCUUCCCAUCUGCGAAGGUGCUGUUCUAAAUUCAACCUCACACGAAAAUUCAAGCCGCCUCGUCCUCACUGGGG